This 304-nucleotide ribosomal RNA is filed under the name uncultured Rickettsiales bacterium. RNAcentral's name for it is "SSU rRNA". It matches the Rfam family "Bacterial small subunit ribosomal RNA", at positions 29 to 367 of the family's 1533-position model. Lineage: Bacteria; Pseudomonadati; Pseudomonadota; Alphaproteobacteria; Rickettsiales. The record is from RNAcentral.
ACGAACGCUGGCGGCAUGCCUAACACAUGCAAGUCGAACGCUAUUUAUAGAGUGGCGCACGGGUGAGUAACGCGUGGGAACCUGCCUUUUCUGCGGGAUAACGGUUGGAAACGACCGCUAAUACCGCAUACGCCCUACGGGGGAAAGGUCCGCCGGAGAAGAGGGGCCCGCGUCUGAUUAGCUUGUUGGUAGGGUAAUGGCCUACCAAGGCUACGAUCAGUAGCUGGUCUGAGAGGAUGAUCAGCCACACUGGGACUGAGACACGGCCCAGACUCCUACGGGAGGCAGCAGUGGGGAAUAUUGG